This 492-nucleotide ribosomal RNA is filed under the name uncultured bacterium. RNAcentral describes it as "partial 16S ribosomal RNA". It matches the Rfam family "Bacterial small subunit ribosomal RNA", at positions 29 to 507 of the family's 1533-position model. The record is from RNAcentral.
AGUGAACGCUGGCGGUAGGCCUAACACAUGCAAGUCGAGCGGCAGCACAGUAAGAGCUUGCUCUUACGGGUGGCGAGUGGCGGACGGGUGAGGAAUACAUCGGAAUCUACUUUUUCGUGGGGGAUAACGUAGGGAAACUUACGCUAAUACCGCAUACGACCUACGGUUGAAAGCAGGGGAUCUUCGGACCUUGCGCGAUUGAAUGAGCCGAUGUCGGAUUAGCUAGUUGGCGGGGUAAAGGCCCACCAAGGCGGCGAUCCGUAGCUGGUCUGAGAGGAUGAUCAGCCACACUGGAACUGAGACACGGUCCAGACUCCUACGGGAGGCAGCAGUGGGGAAUAUUGGACAAUGGGCGCAAGCCUGAUCCAGCCAUACCACGUGGGUGAAGAAGGCCUUCGGGUUGUAAAGCCCUUUUGUUGGGAAAGAAAAGCAGCAGGUUAAUACCCCGCUGUUCUGACGGUACCCAAAGAAUAAGCACCGGCUAACUUCGUG